CAAAGGUAGCAUAAUCAUUAGGGAUUUAAUUGGAACCUGGUAUGAAGGGUUGGACAAAGGAAAGACUGUCUAUAUAAUAUGAAUUGAAAUUUACUUUUAAGUGAAAAGGCUUAAAUAAAUCAAAGGGACGAUAAGACCCUAUAAAGCUUUAUAAAUAAUUUAAAUUUAAUUAAUUUAAUGAUUAAAGGUUAAGUUUACACUAUUUUAUUUUGUUGGGGUGAUAUGAGUAUAAGUGUUGUUAACUGCUUAAAAAAAAUUCUAUUAUUAAAGAAUUAAUAAAAUGGAUGAUCCUUUGUAAAGAUUAAAAGACUAAGUUACUUUAGGGAUAACAGCGUUAUUUCUUUUGAGAGUUCAUAUCGAAAAAGAAGAUUGCGACCUCGAUGUUGAAUUAAAAUAUCUAUAUAAUGAAGCCGUUAUAAAAGAGGGUCUGUUCGACCUUUAAAUUUUUACAUGAUUUGAGUUCAAACCGG
RNAcentral lists this ribosomal RNA (470 nucleotides) under Atergatis integerrimus. RNAcentral describes it as "partial 16S ribosomal RNA". The stretch from base 325 to 470 matches the Rfam family "Bacterial large subunit ribosomal RNA", at positions 2473 to 2619 of the family's 2925-position model. The record is from RNAcentral. Lineage: Eukaryota; Metazoa; Arthropoda; Malacostraca; Decapoda; Xanthidae.